AUUACAAUUUAAAUCCAAUUAGAUUAUAUAUCGGUCAUCCAUCAGUUCAAUCGGUUAGUUUCGGGUUUUAGUGAUUUUUAAUAUGAAUAUUUUAGAAAUAUAAAUUGAACUAGAUCUCCGGAUUAACCGGUAUAAUCACAAUCGGGUUGAAUUUAAAAAUACUGAUUUAAAUGCAAAUAUUUUAAAUACGCACUCUUUAAAAACUACCAAAAUAUUUGUUAAAUUAUUAGUGAAAUUUUUCAUCGUAAAAUAUCCCGCGCUUCAAAAGCGCGGGUCAAAAUCUAGUUUGUGUUAUUUCAGAAGUUAUGGGGUUUUUAACAAUAUUAUAGUAGUUCUUGCUCAGUUUUGUUAUAUACACGAGGGUAAUCUCGGAAUUUCAGCAUCAGUCUUAGGAGUUGGAAUUAGGGUUUUGAUUUGACCAAAGGCAGUAUAAAUAAUAGAGUAAGCCGCCAACACCAAGCUUCAAAACUACUUGAUCUUAUCUGAGCUGAGAAAAAGGGGUUUAGGGUUCCGAUCUGUUCCGAUCCUCACCGUGUGAGCAACCCCGUAUACUUCCUUUGGAGUGUAUUGUCGGCGGCUCCGGUGACGGAAAGGUGUCCUUAUUCUCCCUUUGUUUUCAGCGAUGAAGACUGCUUGCUGCCUGAGCUCGGCGCUAUGAUGGCUUUUGCGAGCUUUAACACCCUCUCCCCCCCCCCCGCCCAAAUUAUCUGUUUUUCGAAAACUUAGGUUUUGAUUUUUGUUCUAGGUUCUUUUGUUUUUAAAUUGAGAUUGAAAAUAAUUUUUUGUUUUCAAAGCUUUAUUGUUUUAACAUUGCGCGUAAUGCUUAUGUGAAGAUUCAGUCUUGUUGUUAUAAUUGGCUUUCUAAAUUUUUAUAUUUAAUAUACAUAUUGUUAAACUUACGAUAGAUCCGUGUAAGGUUCAUAGAAGAAGAACCUAAAAAUUGGGUCAUGUUGGAUUCCGUGUAGAAGAUGAGAAGCUGUGCAACUUUUUCGAGAGAUCUUGGUGCCAGUUGCAUCGUCUCAGGCACUGUCAACGGCUGCUCCAAUGGUAUUUGAGCAAACAUGGCAAGAUGGGGUUAGCAGUUAGGAGUCACUUGUGUCUAAACACUCAACUUGAGGACACACCAGCCAGAUAGGAGCUUCUUGCAAACCUCCGCAUCUCUGUUGUGUCAUUGAAGCUGGUUCAAAUCUCUGUUUUCCACAUCUUUCCACAUCUAGCAACAUGUCUUGGUGGUUCAUGAUUGUAAUCAAAUCUUAAUAAAUUAAUGAAAUUGUUGAAUAUACAUA
Raphanus sativus (radish) is the source of this 1286-nucleotide long non-coding RNA. RefSeq lists it as uncharacterized. The transcript is spliced from 2 exons. The record is from RefSeq and is a predicted model, not a curated record. Lineage: Eukaryota; Viridiplantae; Streptophyta; Magnoliopsida; Brassicales; Brassicaceae.